RNAcentral lists this ribosomal RNA (497 nucleotides) under uncultured bacterium. RNAcentral describes it as "partial 16S ribosomal RNA". It matches the Rfam family "Bacterial small subunit ribosomal RNA", at positions 28 to 507 of the family's 1533-position model. The record is from RNAcentral.
GAUGAACGCUGGCGGCGUGCCUAAUACAUGCAAGUCGAGCGAACAGACGAGGAGCUUGCUCCUCUGACGUUAGCGGCGGACGGGUGAGUAACACGUGGAUAACCUACCUAUAAGACUGGGAUAACUUCGGGAAACCGGAGCUAAUACCGGAUAAUAUAUUGAACCGCAUGGUUCAAUAGUGAAAGACGGUUUUGCUGUCACUUAUAGAUGGCUCCGCGCCGCAUUAGCUAGUUGGUAAGGUAACGGCUUACCAAGGCAACGAUGCGUAGCCGACCUGAGAGGGUGAUCGGCCACACUGGAACUGAGACACGGUCCAGACUCCUACGGGAGGCAGCAGUAGGGAAUCUUCCGCAAGGGGCGAAAGCCUGACGGAGCAACGCCGCGUGAGUGAUGAAGGUCUUCGGAUCGUAAAACUCUGUUAUUAGGGAAGAACAAAUGUGUAAGUAACUAUGCACGUCUUGACGGUACCUAAUCAGAAAGCCACGGCUAACUACGUG